GGUGGGACUAAGACAUGCGAGUCGAGCGUCCCUAGCUAUGUUGAGACGCGGCAGACGGCUCAGUAACACGUGGCUAACCUACCUUCAGGACGAGGAUAAACCCGGGAAACUGGGGCUAAUACUCGAUAGGUGAGGAUGUCUGGAAUGACUUCUCAUCCAAAGGGCAUUGGAAACAUGCUUUCAAUGUCGCCUGGGGAUGGGGCCGCGUCCGAUCAGGUUGUUGGUGAGGUAACGGCUCACCAAGCCUAUAACCGGUACGGGCCGUGAGAGCGGUAGCCCGGAGAUGGGUACUGAGACAAGGACCCAGGCCCCACGGGGCGCAGCAGUCGCGAAAACUCCGCAAUGCACGAAAGUGUGACGGGGCUACCCCGAGUGCCAUCCGCUGAGGGUGGCUUUUCUUUGGUAUAACUAGCCAUGGGAAUAAGGAGAGGGCAAGACUGGUGUCAGCCGCCGCGGUAAUACCAGCUCUCCGAGUGGUAGGGAUGAUUAUUGGGCUUAAAGCGUCCGUAGCCGGCUUAGCAAGUCUCCUGUUAAAUUCAGCGACCUAAUCGUUGACCCGCGGGAGAUACUACUAGGCUAGGAGGCGGGAGAGGUCGACGGUACUUCUGGGGUAGGGGUGAAAUCCUAUAAUCCCGGGAGGACCACCAGUGGCGAAGGCUGUCGACUAGAACGCGCUCGACGGUGAGGGACGAAAGCUGGGGGAGCGAACCGGAUUAGAUACCCGGGUAGUCCCAGCCGUAAACGAUGCGAGCUAGGUGUUGGAAUGGCUACGUGCCAUUUCAGUGCCGCAGGGAAGCCAUUAAGCUCGCCGCCUGGGGAGUACGGCCGCAAGGCUGAAACUUAAAGGAAUUGGCGGGGGAGCACCACAAGGCGUGAAGCUUGCGGUUCAAUUGGAGUCAACGCC
This 904-nucleotide ribosomal RNA is filed under the name uncultured archaeon. RNAcentral describes it as "bacterial SSU rRNA". It matches the Rfam family "Archaeal small subunit ribosomal RNA", at positions 37 to 919 of the family's 1478-position model. The record is from RNAcentral.